CAGCUGGAAAAUCCUGGAUAUCUGAAAGUAUAGGAAACGGUUGUAGCAAAGGGAAGAUCGGUUUUCAUACUGCUGCAAUAUUUGUCUACUCAAGCAAGCUUUGCAAAUGCUGAACUGCAAAAUGAUAACGAGAUGGUGCCGAACAGCGACCUCUGCAUACCCAGUAAAUCCAAGAAAAAAUUGAAUCAAUGAAAGACGGCACCCAACAGGACGGACAAACAACCAAUGUGCAAAGGACAACAAACUGCACAAAGAGAG
Molecule: long non-coding RNA, 258 nt
Organism: Mobula hypostoma (lesser devil ray)
Lineage: Eukaryota; Metazoa; Chordata; Chondrichthyes; Myliobatiformes; Myliobatidae
Exons: 3
Source: RefSeq, a predicted model, not a curated record